RNAcentral lists this transfer RNA (71 nucleotides) under Mecistocephalus marmoratus. Its description in RNAcentral is "tRNA-Leu". The record is from RNAcentral. Lineage: Eukaryota; Metazoa; Arthropoda; Chilopoda; Geophilomorpha; Mecistocephalidae.
AUUAGAAUGGCAGAAGUAUAGGCAUAAAAUUUAGAAUUUUAUAAUGAGAAUAAAUGGAAACUCUUCUAAUU